Molecule: ribosomal RNA, 268 nt
Filed under: uncultured bacterium
Lineage: Bacteria
Description: partial 16S ribosomal RNA
Rfam family: Bacterial small subunit ribosomal RNA
Source: RNAcentral
UACGUAGGGGGCAAGCGUUGUCCGGAUUUAUUGGGCGUAAAGCGCGUGUAGGCGGCGUCGUUAGUCGGAUGUGAAAGCCCUCGGCUCAACCGAGGAAGUGCAUCCGAUACUGCGAUGCUUGAGUGUUGGAGGGGGUGGCGGAAUUCCCGGUGUAGAGGUGAAAUUCGUAGAUAUCGGGAGGAACACCUGUGGCGAAGGCGGCCACCUGGACAACAACUGACGCUGAGACGCGAAAGCGUGGGUAGCAAACAGGAUUGAGAAACCCUGG